Pieris napi is the source of this 625-nucleotide long non-coding RNA. RefSeq lists it as uncharacterized. The record is from RefSeq and is a predicted model, not a curated record. The transcript has 2 exons. Lineage: Eukaryota; Metazoa; Arthropoda; Insecta; Lepidoptera; Pieridae.
AUUAUCGGUCUUACUAAUAAAAAAUCACUAUACAUGCGUUAUGACAAGGUGAUAGUAAUUCAGUGAAUAGAGCUUGUACAGGGCAUAAACUCCUCUUUGACCAAUAAUCGAUGUGUAUUGGUUGAAUAACAAAACGACCCUUAUUUAUUGUUACCCUGGCAACCCGCCGUGUUUGAUUGACGUUUGAUUUAAUAAUUUUGAUACGACUCAUAAUUCUAAUGUAAGUUGUAUUUAUUUUAUCAACCAAAGCAAUUAUAUACACAUUUACUCAAUAUACUAAUAACAUUUUAUUAUUUGCAGCUAAUAGAAACUCCAAAACCUCAGACAAAGUGGACUAGAAUUUUACAUAAAAAGCCGCGUUCUGCAGUACAAAAGUUAGAAGAGGCAUCUCAAAUAGUGGAAAGUGCCUAACUCCGCAACACGGUAGUGUUCCAGUGUUUCCAGGAAGAGCACGAAACAAAACAAAGGCAGAUGGCUGAAACACAUGAGCUCAAACAGAAGCGACUCGCCGAAGCUCACGAAAAGGCUAGACAGAAGCAUCUUCUAAGGCUCAAAUUGUUACAGCAGCAAUUAAAUAAAUAAUUAUAUACUUAUAAAAAAAAUAAAACCCCCGUUUUAAAUGAAA